Molecule: ribosomal RNA, 253 nt
Filed under: uncultured bacterium
Lineage: Bacteria
Description: partial 16S ribosomal RNA
Rfam family: Bacterial small subunit ribosomal RNA
Source: RNAcentral
UACAGAGGUCUCAAGCGUUGUUCGGAUUCCUUGGGCGUAAAGGGUGCGUAGGUGGCGCUGUAAGUCAGGUGUGAAAUUUCGGAGCUUAACUCCGAAACUGCAUUUGAUACUGCGGUGCUUGAGGACUGGAGAGGAGACUGGAAUUUACGGUGUAGCAGUGAAAUGCGUAGAGAUCGUAAGGAAGACCAGUGGCGAAGGCGAGUUUCUGGACAGUUACUGACGCUGAGGCACGAAGGCCAGGGGAGCAAACGGG